This 468-nucleotide ribosomal RNA is filed under the name uncultured bacterium. Its description in RNAcentral is "partial 16S ribosomal RNA". It matches the Rfam family "Bacterial small subunit ribosomal RNA", at positions 28 to 507 of the family's 1533-position model. The record is from RNAcentral.
GACGAACGCUGGCGGCGUGCUUAACACAUGCAAGUCGAACGGAAAGGCCCUGCUUUUGUGGUGUUCUCGUGUGGCGCACGUGUGUGUAACACGUGUGUACCCUGCCCUUCUCUUUGGUAUACCUUCAGGACACUGGCUCUAUUACCGGAUAUGCCCUCCUUCUGCAUGGUGUUGGUUGGAAUUUUUCGUGGGUUGGGUGGUGACUCGCGGCUUAUCAGCUUGUUGGUGGGGUAGUGGCUUACCAAGGCUUUGACGGGUAGCCGGCCUGGGAGGGUGACCGGCCAAAUUGGGACUGAGAGAGGGCCCAGAAGCCAAGGGGAGGCAGCAGUGGGGAAUAUUGCACAAGGGGCGGAAGCCUGAUGCAGGAACGCCGGGUGCGGGAUGACGGCCUUCGGGUGGGAAACAGCUUUCGCAUGUGACGAAGCGUGAGUGACGGUAAUGGGUAAAGAAGCACCGGCUAACUACGUG